This is a long non-coding RNA of Eriocheir sinensis (Chinese mitten crab), 2075 nucleotides long. RefSeq lists it as uncharacterized. The record is from RefSeq and is a predicted model, not a curated record. Lineage: Eukaryota; Metazoa; Arthropoda; Malacostraca; Decapoda; Varunidae. The transcript is spliced from 5 exons.
AAAAUAAAAAAUAUUAGGGUUAAGGCUCACCUUUAUUUGCGUCUAAAAGGAGCAACAGUUUCACCCGAACAGUCGUCAAUGUGAACACGUGUGCAAUAUUUUAUAUAUCCCAGAGAUGUCGUGUGAUAUGUUUAGUGGUAAUGUCGUGUGAUAUGUUUAGUGGUAAUGUCGUGUGAUAUGUUUAGUGGUAAUGUCGUGUGAUAUGUUUAGGGGUAAUGUCGUGUGAUAUGUUUAGGGGUAAUGUCGUGUGAUAUGUUUAGGGGUAAUGUCGUGUGAUAUGUUUAAUGGUAAUGUCGUGUGAUAUGUUUAGGGAUAAUAUCGAGUGAUAUGUUUAGGGGUAAUGUCGUGUGAUAUGCUUAGGGAUAAUGUCGUGUGAUGUGUUUAGGGGUAAUGUCGUGUGAUAUGUUUAGGGGUAAUGUCGUGUGAUAUGUUUAGAGGUGAUGUCGUGUGAUAUGUUUAGAGGUGAUGUCGUGUGAUAUGUUUAGAGGUGAUGUCGUGUGAUAUGUUUAGGGGUGAUGUCGUGUGAUAUGUUUAGAGGUGAUGUCGUGUGAUAUGUUUAGAGGUGAUGUCGUGUGAUAUGUUUAGAGGUGAUGUCGUGUGAUAUGUUUAGAGGUGAUGUCGUGUGAUAUGUUUAGAGGUGAUGUCGUGUGAUAUGUUUAAGGGUAAUGUCGUGUGAUAUGUUUAGAGGUGAUGUCGUGUGAUAUGUUUAGGGGUAAUGUCGUGUGAUAUGUUUAGGGGUAAUGUCGUGUGAUAUGUUUAAGAGUAAUGUCGUGUGAUAUGUUUCUUGGUGAUGUCGUGUAAUAUGUUUCUUGUUAAUGUCGUGUGAUAUGUUUCUUGGUGAUGUCGUGUGAUAUGUUUCUGGGUAAUGUCGUGUGAUAUGUUUCUUGGUGAUGUCGUGUGAUAUGUUUCUGGGUAAUGUCGUGUGAUAUGUUUACGAGUAAUGUCGUGUGAUAUGUUUAGGGGUAAUGUCGUGUGAUAUGUUUAGAGGUGAUGUCGUGUGAUAUGUUUAAGGGUAAUGUCGUGUGAUAUGUUUAGAGGUGAUGUCGUGUGAUAUGUUUAAGAGUAAUGUCGUGUGAUAUGUUUAGAGGUGAUGUCGUGUGAUAUGUUUAAGGGUAAUGUCGUGUGAUAUGUUUCUUGGUGAUGUCGUGUAAUAUGUUUCUUGUUAAUGUCGUGUGAUAUGUUUCUUGGUGAUGUCGUGUGAUAUGUUUCUGGGUAAUGUCGUGUGAUAUGUUUCUUGGUGAUGUCGUGUGAUAUGUUUCUGGGUAAUGUCGUGUGAUAUGUUUACGAGUAAUGUCGUGUGAUAUGUUUAGGGGUAAUGUCGUGUGAUGUGUUUAGAGGUGAUGUCGUGUGAUAUGUUUAGAGGUAAUGUCGUGUGAUAUGUUUAGAGGUGAUGUCGUGUGAUAUGUUUAGGGGUAAUGUCGUGUGAUAUGUUUAGAGGUGAUGUCGUGUGAUAUGUUUAGGGGUAAUGUCGUGUGAUAUGUUUAGAGGUGAUGUCGUGUGAUAUGUUUAGGGGUAAUGUCGUGUGAUAUGUUUAGAGGUGAUGUCGUGUGAUAUGUUUAGGGGUAAUGUCGUGUGAUAUGUUUAGAGGUGAUGUCGUGUGAUAUGUUUAGGGGUAAUGUCGUGUGAUAUGUUUAGAGGUGAUGUCGUGUGAUAUGUUUAGAGGUGAUGUCGUGUGAUAUGUUUAGAGGUGAUGUCGUGUGAUAUGUUUAGAGGUGAUGUCGUGUGAUAUGUUUAGAGGUGAUGUCGUGUGAUAUGUUUAGAGGUGAUGUCGUGUGAUAUGUUUAGAGGUGAUGUCGUGUGAUAUGUUUAAGGGUAAUGUCGUGUGAUAUGUUUAGAGGUGAUGUGUGAUAUGUUUAGGGGUAAUGUCGUGUGAUAUGUUUAGAGGUGAUGUCGUGUGAUAUGUUUAAGGGUAAUGUCGUGUGAUAUGUUUCUUGGUGAUGUCGUGUAAUAUGUUUCUUGUUAAUGUCGUGUGAUAUGUUUCUUGGUGAUGUCGUGUGAUAUGUUUCUGGGUAAUGUCGUGUGAUAUGUUUCUUGGUGAUGUCGUGUGAUAUGUUUCUGGGUAAUGUCGUGUGAUA